CACGGGUGAGUAACGCGUAUCCAACCUGCCUCUCUCAUUGGGAUAGCCUUCCGAAAGGGAGAUUAAUACGAGAUGGUGUUCAGUUUCCGCAUGUUUACUGAACUAAAGAUUCAUCGGUAACGGAUAGGGAUGCGUGACAUUAGAUAGUUGGCGGGUAACGGCCCACCAAGUCUACGAUGUCUAGGGGUUCUGAGAGGAAGGUCCCCCACACUGGAACUGAGACACGGUCCAGACUCCUACGGGAGGCAGCAGUGAGGAAUAUUGGUCAAUGGGCGCAGGCCUGAACCAGCCAAGUAGCGUGAAGGAUGAAGGUUCUAUGGAUUGUAAACUUCUUUUGUCAGGGAGCACUAAGCCACGAGUGGUGUAAAGAGAGUACCUGAAGAAAAAGCAUCGGCUAACUCCGUG
This 405-nucleotide ribosomal RNA is filed under the name uncultured bacterium. RNAcentral describes it as "bacterial SSU rRNA". It matches the Rfam family "Bacterial small subunit ribosomal RNA", at positions 100 to 507 of the family's 1533-position model. The record is from RNAcentral.